Syngnathus typhle (broad-nosed pipefish) is the source of this 1128-nucleotide long non-coding RNA. RefSeq lists it as uncharacterized. NCBI's taxonomy places the organism in Eukaryota, Metazoa, Chordata, Actinopteri, Syngnathiformes, Syngnathidae. The record is from RefSeq and is a predicted model, not a curated record. The transcript has 3 exons.
GUCACUUCCAGUAUGUCGCGAGAGUUCUCCUGUAAAUACGAUAAGAGCAGGAAACAGAUGGGAACCGCGUCCAACCUUGCUUAUACGUUCGCGUAGAUUCUACGCCGUAGAAGAAUAGCAGAAUAAACCACGUGUGUUGUUGCUGUCGUCUCGACGUUCAGUCUUCAAUACAGGUUUCCAGUAUGCUAAACACAACGCUCACUGAAAUACUAAUGAAGCUAACGUCACGUAGCAAUGCGUAAGGUUCUGGAACGGUCCUUGAACAUGGCUUAUCAUCACAGCACUAGCAUUCACUUCAAGCAAACACAUUCCUGUGCAAGACUCUCAUGAGUAGAAGGAUUUGGUGCGCUUCACAUACCUUCUCCUCAAAUUCAUCCAACUCAUCAUCAGUAAUCUUCCAAGGCUGAUUUUUCCGCAUAGCCUCAACCUGAGUACUGUCUCUGGUCCUCUCGUGAAGACGGAAAGGUUCAAUCAUGUCCUCCAACUUCUUCAAGCUGAGAGCAUACAAAUGAGGACAUGGGGCACCAAGGGCAGACGUUGGACCAAGAUGAUUUUCCAACAUGUACCUUUCGUUACGAGGCUUGAUAUGGAUGUCAUCGAUGACUAUGAUGUCAGUGCAUUGAAUUCGGAACUUAUGUAGCAGCAACUUCAUCCUACAAGACAGAAAAGGCACACCAUAAACUGUUAAAUGUAUAUUUAUUCACCACCAGGGAACAUCUCUUCUAAUUUCAUGCCUUUGCCCUUGGCACACCACAUCGACAGUUAAUCAGACCCAUGCUCGUUAGGCUAUAAUUAAUAGUGAAACAAUUAGCUGAUUCCACUCACUCCUGUUUAUCCAUCUCGCUGCGUCCGGGCUGCCCUGCAACGAAAAUUCUCAUUUUGCAGUUGUUCCACUUCUUCCUGGUGGUGAGGAUGUAGGGGAGCAGCAGAGUGAGACCUGUCAGAAAGCAGGCAGAACCAUGAGACAAGUUGCUUUUUUGUGGAGAAGAUUUAGAUGAUAUGAUAUGAUCUGGAGUCUCUAAUGAGUGAGCAAUUUGUUGUCCCUCACUGAUGCAAUAUGCACCUGCAAUGUUGCUACAAAUAUUCCGUAGACGUAGACAUAAACAUCUCAAGCGUCACCCACCUCCA